Non-coding RNA from Strigamia maritima, 197 nucleotides. Lineage: Eukaryota; Metazoa; Arthropoda; Chilopoda; Geophilomorpha; Linotaeniidae. The record is from Rfam.
UUUACUAAAUAAAAUGGUCCGUAACAAGGCCUCAUUACAUAGUAUCUGUUCCUAUCAGCUUAAUAUCUGAUAUGGUUCCUAAAUGGAAUCUUCGAUAUUGAAUAGAUUUUUGGAUCUAGGCAAGAGCUAGAAGCUUGCUUCUACCUUGCCAUGAGUCAUCUCAGUUUUGCACUCUCUCUGAGUUUGGCUCUCACAAA